Molecule: RNA transcript, 3026 nt
Organism: Grus americana (Whooping crane)
Lineage: Eukaryota; Metazoa; Chordata; Aves; Gruiformes; Gruidae
Gene: DUSP19
Gene name: dual specificity phosphatase 19
Exons: 6
Source: RefSeq, a predicted model, not a curated record
CGCGGGGCGAGCGGCGGUGUCCGGGCCAUGCACUCCCUCACCCAGGAGAUCCGCGGCUUCUCCAGGGCCAACCUGCGGAAGCAGCGCACACGCGUGACGACGCUGACCGGCAGGAGGAUCAUCGAGACGUGGCGCGGUGCCUGCCUGCAGGUAGAGGAGGAGGAUGCGGCGGCGCCCGGUGUCGGCUACGUGCAGGACCUCAGCGCCGACCUCCAGGUCGGCGUCGUGAAGCCCUGGUUGCUGCUGGGGUCGCAGGAUGCUGCUCACGACCUGGAGACUUUGAGAAAGUAUAAGACGGAUGGAUGCCUGCGAGCUUCACCAGAAGCCGAAACACCGUGCUGCAAGACUCAUGGUUGUUUAGAGGCGUUUCGUGGAAGGGGCUGCUGCGUUGUCGCCGUAUGCGUUUCAGUCUCAGGCGCUAAGCAGCGCUCCCUUGCCUUACGGGGACCCGUGAAUCGAGAAAAACAAAGCAGCAGCUCUAAGUCUGUCCCAAACUUUGGUCUUUUUACUCUUCUCUGUUACAGUAAUGGGGUGAUAAGGCCUUCGGACAGUGGUGCUUCUGCAGGACAGGGAGUGCACCAGUCUGGCAUCUGGUGCCAUCUAAAUGUCACUGCACUGUUACUCAUGUUCUAAAUGUGGCCUACGGAGUCCAAAAUGCCUUCCUCAAUGACUUUAUAUACAAGACCAUUUCUAUUCUGGACCUCCCAGAAACCGACAUUACUUCCUAUUUCCCAGAAUGUUUUGAGUUUAUUGAGAAAGCCAAGAUCCAGGGAGGAAAUCUUAGCUCAUGCAUGAACAUCUCUCCUUAUUUCUCCCUCUGUCCCUCCGAAAAAGAAAGCCCUGGCACCACUGCAAAGUAAAGUGGAUCCCUAAGGAAAUACGUUAGCCUGUGGCUCUUCACCAACAGCUUUAUGCUUCUUUUUCAUUUCUUUCCUCAGUCAGGCUUUCUUACCUACUGUGUAUAACCACUGUAUAAUCACCAUUUCUUUUGAUGGGAGGGGUUUUUUUUGCUUCUCCCUGUAUAAAAAAUAAUAAAACGCCCCCUUGUUCUUGAAUCUUAAGAGGUUCUUGCACGACCAUGGACCAUUUCUGGGCAGGUGAAGGUUAGGCUAUGAGGAUCAUAGCAGGGAGUUCUUAGUAAAUAAAGAUUAAUUUCAUACCUGCAGUCUGUUUUUCCCUUUUGUUCUGUAUUCAUAUCUAAUACAAAUUCAGUUAAGAAUUACAUGCCAAAUUUGUCUUUGUAUAAAGAAACAACAGGGUUUAGCAAGGAAAGAUAGAUCUUCUCAGUAUUAAAUUUGAUUUAAUGUUACUGCCCAUGCUCAUUCAUGAUCAGUAGUUUUCAAGUCUAUUCCGUGGAUAUCACUAUAUAAUUUUUAGCAAUGUACAACAGAACAGUCGUUAAAAAAAAACCUUAAAAGAAAUGCGAAGGAGGAAAAUAAAGCAUGAACUCAAAGGAAAAAAAAAAUCACUUUCAAUCCUCACUUCUUACCCUCAGUGCCAGUGCUAGAUAUUGAUCUCAAUUAUGGUACGUUAUGUCUGAAAAAACUUCCAUUAAACCAGUAAGAACUACUCCAGAUCUACGGUGGAUAAGCUUCAGCAAUUGCUUCAUUAGCAGUGGCAUAAAUAUAAUUUUUAACAUCAUCAUUUUAAUGUCAUUUUUAUAAAGGAGAUAAUGGGUUUACAGAUCACCACUGGCACUUCCUCAGUGAGUUGAAAUACACGUACAAGUCUGCUUUACACUCUGUGAUCAGGAAACAUGCCCCUGUGAAUGGGAGAAAGAGAAUGAAGAUCACAAUUUCCAGCAGCCAAUGCAAAGGGGAUGUGAUUUCCAUUGCCAAAAAGGGUUAUUGUGAUUCAUUGUGCUGGGAUGCGGGAGCUUAGAUUCAGUUCCUAGCUCUGCUGUAAUCUUGUUGUGUUAACUUGAUCAAGUCAUUCUUCUAGUCUCAGCUUGGCAUUUCUUCAACGAGGAUAACAACACUCAAUUUCACACUUCUUUGUCUUAUUUAAACUGGAGGGGGUUUGGAGCAGGAACCAUUUUCUGCUCUGUGUGUUUAUUAAUAUGCCGGAUAAUUGCAACUCCCAGGCCUGUAACGUAAGUCAUCAUGUUCCUGGAAAGGAACCCUGGUGGUUAUAAACUCUUUUUUUUCCUCUGGGUAAAAUGCCCGUUGAGUAAUUUGUGCUUGUUAAGGGCAGAUGGAGCAGGCUGUUUGUAUCUAGAAUAUAUUUGUUUAGCCUCAAAUAUCUGAGCACAUUGUGUUUUGUUUCAGUAUCUUUAUUCAGAAUGUGGAGAUGCUAGGGUCUUUUUUUUUGUGAAAGUGGCAUUUGGCAGACAGUUUGGACCAAGCUUUUUCCAGAUCAUAGUCGUGACGUACAAACGUCACAACAUCGCAAAGCCUGGGCAUUGCAAACGCUGCCUAAGCCACGCUGGCUUGUCUAGUUGUCUUUGUGUUAACUCACACUCUUUAUUUCUUAACAAAACUUGCAGUUUCUUGUUAAAGAGUCAUUCAGGUGUCUCAAUGCUUUUAUGGGAAAUGUGUAAGCAGGAUAAACCCAUUCAUUUUAAAUAUAAUUCAGGAUGAGCCUGAAUUUAACCCCCACGAGUCACAUUUGUGAAUUUAUAAGGAGGUUCAGUAGUUUUGGGUUUUGCACCUUUGUCCCCCAGUGAAAGGAUGUGAGUUGCACCAGCUGUACCACCCGACCGCUACAGCCGUACCAGCGGUGUGCUGGGGAGGUAGAGAUUUGUUGUAAAUCACACGAUACCUUUUCUGAUUUUUCUGUUCCUAUGCAUGAUCCUGCUUACCCAGGAUCUUCACUGAAGAACUCCAGAGUACGCAAGAAGUGUGCGACUGAAAGCACAAGAUGUUCUAAAAUCCGCUUCUGUGCCUAGCUGUUUGCUGCCUUGCUAUGUUUUUAACCUGGUAACAAGGAUGGUGUGGUACUGGUCCACUGUAACGCAGGAGUCUCACGUGCAGCGGCAGUAGUCACCGGUUUUCUAAUGAAUUCAGAAAGACUGAGUUUUGCCAGAG